ACUCCUACGGGAGGCAGCAGUGAGGAAUAUUGGACAAUGGGUGGAAGCCUGAUCCAGCCAUCCCGCGUGCAGGAAGACGGCCCUAUGGGUUGUAAACUGCUUUUAUCUGGGGAUAAACCUACUUACGUGUAAGUAGCUGAAGGUACCAGAAGAAUAAGCACCGGCUAACUCCGUGCCAGCAGCCGCGGUAAUACGGAGGGUGCAAGCGUUAUCCGGAUUUAUUGGGUUUAAAGGGUCCGUAGGCGGACUGAUAAGUCAGUGGUGAAAUCCGACAGCUUAACUGUCGAACUGCCAUUGAUACUGUUAGUCUUGAGUAAGGUUGAAGUGGCUGGAAUAAGUAGUGUAGCGGUGAAAUGCAUAGAUAUUACUUAGAACACCAAUUGCGAAGGCAGGUCACUAAGUCUUAACUGACGCUGAUGGACGAAAGCGUGGGGAGCGAACAGGAUUAGAAACCCCUGUAGUCCCA
Molecule: ribosomal RNA, 466 nt
Filed under: uncultured organism
Description: partial 16S ribosomal RNA
Rfam family: Bacterial small subunit ribosomal RNA
Source: RNAcentral